This 572-nucleotide small RNA is filed under the name Pongo abelii (Sumatran orangutan). RNAcentral describes it as "retained intron". The record is from RNAcentral. Lineage: Eukaryota; Metazoa; Chordata; Mammalia; Primates; Hominidae.
GGGAGGGGGUGAGCCCUCUAGGGUGGCUGGGCCCACCACACACCGUUAGACGCAGACCUGGUGCCUCUGUGGCCCCAGGGAGUUGGGGGGUGUCCCUGCUUGGCUUGUCUGGCUUGAGGAUCCCUGGAUGAGUGGCCCCCACCCCCGGGAAUCACCAUGACCCAUGUGUGCUUCUGAGCUGCCUCUGAUUGCACCCAAAGGCCUGCUGCGGGUCAUCUCAGGGGUUCUUCAGCUCGGCAACAUCGUCUUCAAGAAGGAGCGGAACACUGACCAGGCGUCCAUGCCCGACAACACAGCUGCCCAAAAGGUGUCCCAUCUCUUGGGUAUCAAUGUGACCGAUUUCACCAGAGGAAUCCUCACCCCGCGCAUCAAAGUGGGACGGGAUUACGUCCAGAAGGCGCAGACUAAAGAGCAGGCUGACUUUGCCAUCGAGGCCUUGGCCAAGGCGACCUAUGAGCGGAUGUUCCGCUGGCUGGUGCUGCGCAUCAACAAGGCUCUGGACAAGACCAAGAGGCAGGGCGCCUCCUUCAUCGGGAUCCUGGACAUCGCCGGCUUCGAGAUCUUUGAUGUGA